UAAGGGCAUUUGGUGGAUGCCUUGGCAUGCACAGGCGAUGAAGGACGUGAUACGCUGCGAAAAGCCGUGGGGAGCUGCGAAUGAGCUUUGAUCCAUGGAUCUCCGAAUGGGGCAACCCACCUUAAAUACCUAGAAAAUCAUUCUGGUUGUCGGAUCGUCGAUCCGACAUUACGGCGAACGAUUGCCGACGGCCUCUGGCCUGUAUGGGAGUUUCCCAAUACAGCGCGAGAGCGCGUCGCCGGUCGUCCGGCGCGCCCACGCAGCGCUGCACGAAGUGCAGAACGAGUGUGAGUGAAAACCCGAAUGGUUUCUAGGUAUUGUGAUAAGGUAUCUACACCUGAAUACAUAGGGUGUAAGAAGCGAACGCAGGGAACUGAAACAUCUAAGUACCUGCAGGAAAGGACAUCAACCGAGACUCCGCAAGUAGUGGCGAGCGAACGCGG
Molecule: ribosomal RNA, 443 nt
Filed under: Rhizobium leguminosarum
Lineage: Bacteria; Pseudomonadati; Pseudomonadota; Alphaproteobacteria; Hyphomicrobiales; Rhizobiaceae
Description: partial 23S ribosomal RNA
Rfam family: Bacterial large subunit ribosomal RNA
Source: RNAcentral